GGUUGAAUCCAUUUUUUUUACAUGGAUACAAUAUGAUUUGCAGCGGGACAUUAAACUGAAUUUAUUCAUUUGAUCAAAGCAAUUUUAUUAAAUUAAGCAUGGUUUGCACAUGCGCAUUGCUGAGUUGGAGUGCCGCUCUCUGACCACCUGACCUGUUUAUUUAAAGAAUUUUUUAAAAAAAACGUCCGUUAUAGUUGAACUGUGUGUUAAGCGGCGGCCGCAGUAACUUAUACUUCAACAGACCCCUCCAGGCUGGCUGAGAGACACAGAAGAACUACGAGCAACUCUGAAGAAGCUUCAGGGAAGCAGCCACCAAUCAGUUGUUCCUGCUGUGCAAAUUAUUUGGAAUCUCCUGCCAGUGAUCAUUGCUUGUGGAUAAUGAGGUUGAAGAACUGGAGCGGACAACCAUGGCGAUCUUUAUCACUGGGAAAGAGGAUCCUCUCCAUCCACCUAAAGACGGUUGCUGGGCUCAUAUAUACACUAAACCUAAAAUAUCCAAAAAGGCUACAGUUCACCUUUGAAUUUGUGCAAAAUGUCCUGAUGGAGCUUGAUGGAAUAAAGAUGACCCCAAAAGUCACUAGUACAGGGAUUAAUUGUAUAAUUGCAUAAUUGUUACAUUUUAUUGUGUUUUUACAGCCAAGACUUUAGAUCCUUUUAAUAAAAAGGUUGUACUAACAAGGCUGCAUUUUCACUGCAGCAUUUACAAAUGUGGCUGCCCAAGUUCGAUGGCUACCAGGUACAAAGGUUGAAUAAGGCCAAGUCUUAUGAACAACUGAAGAGACUGAUUGCAAUGUUUCAAGUAUUUCUGCUGUCAAUCUUCAUACAUUUGAAGCAAAUGUUCAAUGUUGUGAGUUUAUUGAACAAUAAAUGUGUUCUAAAGGAAAAGUGUUCUGAGUAGUCAUUGAUUAAAAUUUAUUGAAAUCAUUAAUUAAAUAAAAUAAUUAAUUUAAUCAGACCUAUAAAAAUUAGUUUGUUCCAAACUAAAAUAAUUAAUUUAAUUUAACAUAUACAUAUUAGUUUAGUUGGUUUGUUCUAAUUUAAAAAAAUUAGUUUGUUCCAACCUAAAAUAAUUAGAUUGAUCAACCUUUAAAAAGUGGUUUGCAUGGAUUUAAAAUUUUCAAGUUAAACUAAAUUAAAUUAUUUACAUUGAGUCAAUGUCAAAUGUUUCGUGUGAUUGAUUACUUCAAUUUUUUUAAGUUGAUAC
Carassius auratus (goldfish) is the source of this 1204-nucleotide long non-coding RNA. RefSeq lists it as uncharacterized. The transcript is spliced from 3 exons. NCBI's taxonomy places the organism in Eukaryota, Metazoa, Chordata, Actinopteri, Cypriniformes, Cyprinidae. The record is from RefSeq and is a predicted model, not a curated record.